UGCUCUUUGCUUGCGCAACAACUGUCGACCCCUCAUCCGUUUCAUUUUUGCCCCAAGAUCGAGUUUGCUCUUCUUGGUCACGACCCUUGGUUCCUGUGUUGCCUUCCCGUUGUAUGGAAUAAUUCGUGAGUCAGCCCCGCACCUGUCCUCGUUGUGGCUUUGCGGCUCCGAUGCGGACCUCGAAAGCAGUCCCUGCGUCUCGGGCACAUCCUCUGACUUUUGUCGUGGCUGUCUCGGUCCACAGGACAACUGCUCGUGCUCCCGGAUGUGGAAAAUUAAAAGGACGUGGGGGGGUCUCGGCCUCCGGCUGCUCCAAUUUAGUCCCUCGAUAAGAAUGACAAUCGCUACCCCAUCGAUUGCCUGCGGCAUCGAUGCGGGUCCGAAGUCGAGAAAGAAUGCUACCUGGUUGAUCCUGCCAGUAGUCAUAUGCUUGUCUCAAAGAUUAAGCCAUGCAUGUGUAAGUA
Molecule: unclassified non-coding RNA, 464 nt
Filed under: Ficus oleifolia
Lineage: Eukaryota; Viridiplantae; Streptophyta; Magnoliopsida; Rosales; Moraceae
Description: partial contains external transcribed spacer and 18S ribosomal RNA
Rfam family: Eukaryotic small subunit ribosomal RNA (bases 400-464)
Source: RNAcentral